GGAAGUAAAAGUCGUAACAAGGUCUCCGUAGGUGAACCUGCGGAGGGAUCAUUACCGAGUGAAGGGCCUUCGGGUCCGACCUCCAACCCUUUGUGAAAUCGACCGCGUUGCCUCGGGGGCCGAGCCUGGCUCGUCCCCCGGUGGCCCACUCAACUCUGCUUCAUCAAGCGUCUGAGUAUACUCGAGAAAUCGAAACAAAACUUUCAACAACGGAUCUCUUGGUUCUGGCAUCGAUGAAGAACGCAGCGAAAUGCGAUAAGUAAUGUGAAUUGCAGAAUUCAGUGAAUCAUCGAAUCUUUGAACGCACAUUGCGCCCUUUGGUAUUCCGAAGGGCAUGCCCGUCCGAGCGUCAUUUCACCACUCGAGCCCUGCUCGGUGUUGGGCGCCGCGUCCACCGCGUGCCUUAAAGUCCUCGGCCGCGUGGUCCAUCCCCGAGCGUUGUGGCAUUACGUCUCGCUCCGGGCUGAUGGGCUGUGCCGGCCGUUAAGCCUCUCACACAGGUUGACCUCGGAUCGGGUAGGGAUACCCGCUGAACUUAAGCAUAUCAAUAAGCGGAGGA
Molecule: ribosomal RNA, 559 nt
Filed under: Pseudosasa sp. HZ-2015a
Lineage: Eukaryota; Viridiplantae; Streptophyta; Magnoliopsida; Poales; Poaceae
Description: eukaryotic LSU rRNA
Rfam family: 5.8S ribosomal RNA (bases 199-352)
Source: RNAcentral